Molecule: ribosomal RNA, 621 nt
Filed under: uncultured bacterium
Lineage: Bacteria
Description: bacterial SSU rRNA
Rfam family: Bacterial small subunit ribosomal RNA
Source: RNAcentral
CAUUGGCUCAANCAAUGUAUGCUUUGGAAACUGUUAGACUUGAGUGCAGAAGGGGAGAGUGGAAUUCCAUGUGUAGCGGUGAAAUGCGUAGAUAUAUGGAGGAACACCGGUGGCGAAAGCGGCUCUCUGGUCUGUCACUGACGCUGAGGCUCGAAAGCGUGGGUAGCGAACAGGAUUAGAUACCCUGGUAGUCCACGCCGUAAACGCUGAGUGCUAGGUGUUAGGUUCUUUCCGGGACUUAGUGCCGACGCUAACGCAUUAAGCACUCCGCCUGGGGAGUACGUCCGCAAGGUUGAAACUCAAAGGAAUUGACGGGGGCCCGCACAAGCGGUGGAGCAUGUGGUUUAAUUCGAAGCAACGCGAAGAACCUUACCAGGUCUUGACAUCCCGAUGCCCGCUCUAGAGAUAGAGUUUUACUUUUUGUACAUCGGAGACAGGUGGUGCAUGGUUGUCGUCAGCUCGUGUCGCGAGAUGUUGGGUUAAGUCCCGCAACGAGCGCAACCCUUAUUGUUAGUUGCCAUCAUUAAGUUGGGCACUCUAGCGAGACUGCCGGUAAUAAACCGGAGGAAGGUGGGGAUGACGUCAAAUCAUCAUGCCCCUUAUGACCUGGGCUACACACGU